This 339-nucleotide unclassified non-coding RNA is filed under the name soil metagenome. Its description in RNAcentral is "partial contains 5.8S ribosomal RNA, internal transcribed spacer 2, and large subunit ribosomal RNA". The stretch from base 1 to 120 matches the Rfam family "5.8S ribosomal RNA", at positions 35 to 154 of the family's 154-position model. The record is from RNAcentral.
GAUGAAGAACGUAGCGAAAUGCGAUAAGUAGUGUGAAUUGCAGAAUUCAGUGAAUCAUCGAAUCUUUGAACGCACAUUGCGCCCUUUGGUAUUCCUUAGGGCAUGCCUGUUCGAGCGUCAUUUAAACCUUCAAGCUCAGCUUUGUGUUGGGUGACUGUCCGCCGCCUCCGGGCGCGUGGACUCGCCUCAAAAUUAUUGGCGGCCGGUACAUUGGCUUCGAGCGCAGCAGAAACGCGAACUCGGGCCCGUCGUAUUGGCUCCCAGAAGCUAUCUUCACAAUUUUGACCUCGGAUCAGGUAGGGAUACCCGCUGAACUUAAGCAUAUCAAUAAGCGGAGGA